GAAUGCUGACAUAAGUAACGAUAAAGCGGGUGAAAAGCCCGCUCGCCGGAAGACCAAGGGUUCCUGUCCAACGUUAAUCGGGGCAGGGUGAGUCGACCCCUAAGGCGAGGCCGAAAGGCGUAGUCGAUGGGAAACAGGUUAAUAUUCCUGUACUUGGUGUUACUGCGAAGGGGGGACGGAGAAGGCUAUGUUGGCCGGGCGACGGUUGUCCCGGUUUAAGCGUGUAGGCUGGUUUUCCAGGCAAAUCCGGAAAAUCAAGGCUGAGGCGUGAUGACGAGGCACUACGGUGCUGAAGCGACAAAUGCCCUGCUUCCAGGAAAAGCCUCUAAGCAUCAGGUAACAUCAAAUCGUACCCCAAACCGACACAGGUGGUCAGGUAGAGAAUACCAAGGCGCUUGAGAGAACUCGGGUGAAGGAACUAGGCAAAAUGGUGCCGUAACUUCGGGAGAAGGCACGCUGAUAUGUAGGUGAAGCGACUUG
This 480-nucleotide ribosomal RNA is filed under the name Escherichia coli. RNAcentral describes it as "partial 23S ribosomal RNA". It matches the Rfam family "Bacterial large subunit ribosomal RNA", at positions 1292 to 1772 of the family's 2925-position model. The record is from RNAcentral. Lineage: Bacteria; Pseudomonadati; Pseudomonadota; Gammaproteobacteria; Enterobacterales; Enterobacteriaceae.